Podarcis lilfordi (Lilford's wall lizard) is the source of this 74-nucleotide non-coding RNA. NCBI's taxonomy places the organism in Eukaryota, Metazoa, Chordata, Lepidosauria, Squamata, Lacertidae. The record is from the annotation of a GenBank genome assembly.
GGAAGGCUGUAGCUCAGUGGUACAGCAUCUGCUUUGCAUGCGCACGGUCUCCGGUUUGAUCCCUGUCAUCUCCA